UGAGUUUUAUCUGGCUCAGAGUGAACGCUGGCGGUAGGCCUAACACAUGCAAGUCGAACGGCAGCACAGGAGAGCUUGCUCUCUGGGUGGCGAGUGGCGGACGGGUGAGGAAUACAUCGGAAUCUACUUUUUCGUGGGGGAUAACGUAGGGAAACUUACGCUAAUACCGCAUACGACCUACGGGUGAAAGCAGGGGAUCUUCGGACCUUGCGCGAUUGAAUGAGCCGAUGUCGGAUUAGCUAGUUGGCGGGGUAAAGGCCCACCAAGGCGACGAUCCGUAGCUGGUCUGAGAGGAUGAUCAGCCACACUGGAACUGAGACACGGUCCAGACUCCUACGGGAGGCAGCAGUGGGGAAUAUUGGACAAUGGGCGCAAGCCUGAUCCAGCCAUACCGCGUGGGUGAAGAAGGCCUUCGGGUUGUAAAGCCCUUUUGUUGGGAAAGAAAUCCAGCUGGUUAAUACCCGGUUGGGAUGACGGUAGCGUUACUCGGAAUUACUGGGCGUAAAGCG
Molecule: ribosomal RNA, 509 nt
Filed under: Stenotrophomonas maltophilia
Lineage: Bacteria; Pseudomonadati; Pseudomonadota; Gammaproteobacteria; Lysobacterales; Lysobacteraceae
Description: bacterial SSU rRNA
Rfam family: Bacterial small subunit ribosomal RNA
Source: RNAcentral